RNAcentral lists this long non-coding RNA (807 nucleotides) under Juglans regia (Persian walnut). Its description in RNAcentral is "partial MSTRG.109897.16". Lineage: Eukaryota; Viridiplantae; Streptophyta; Magnoliopsida; Fagales; Juglandaceae. The record is from RNAcentral.
AUGAGUUCAGUUUAUGUCACUUCUAGUAUAUUUGUUUCAUAAUUUUCUCUGACCCACCCCCCCCCCAAGCAUAUCUCAAACAAAGUUAAUCCUAGAAGUAUUUCAUGCCAUACAGUUGCCAAGUAAUUAGGCUCAAUAAAGAUAAAUUAUUAGUUGCAUGAUGAGUACUAGUUGAUGGCUACUGGUAGUGUAUCAUCACUUCACUCCUUGGAGUUCUGUGUAAAUUUAGAUCUCAAUUUUCAAUUAUUUUUGUUUUCCUACAUUUCUAUUCUAUACUUGCAUUUUACUAAGGUAUGCCCUUUCAUUUAUUAAAAUCUAUUAUUAUCAGAAAAGACUAACUCAAUUACUCAACACUUAUCGAUUUCUCUUUUUCAUAGUUGAGAUCCAUGAAUAAAAUUGCCUUUCUUUUUGGCAGUCUUCCACAUAUCCAUUACUGUUUUGACUCUAUCAAAUGUACUUAAUUCUUGCAUUGGUGCGUUUGUCAUGAACUUAGUAAAGGAAAGGUGAUUUUAUCACGUGACUUCUUAUUGUUGAUAUUUAUGACCAGAUCCACUUUGUUGAUUCUCUUAUGUAUCUUGUUUUCGAUCCUUUUCUUUAUCAUGACUGUAAAUGUCUUGCUUUAACCUAUGGAAAUCAAUACAGUAGGUCACAUUUAGUUAGUGCUGAAUGACUAAUGGCACUCAGUCUUUUGGCUGUAGAUUAGUUCAGAGAUUUACCUGCUAAUAAGAAAAAUGAAUGGGCACGCCUUCCAAACUGAAAAUUAUGAUUAUUAUUUGAUUCCAAUUUGUGUAUAGGCUUCAAAUUUAC